RNAcentral lists this ribosomal RNA (552 nucleotides) under uncultured bacterium. Its description in RNAcentral is "partial 16S ribosomal RNA". It matches the Rfam family "Bacterial small subunit ribosomal RNA", at positions 355 to 900 of the family's 1533-position model. The record is from RNAcentral.
UAGGGAAUCUUCCACAAUGGACGCAAGUCUGAUGGAGCAACGCCGCGUGAGUGAAGAAGGUUUUCGGACCGUAAAGCUCUGUUGUUGGUGAAGAAGGAUAGAGGUAGUAACUGGCCUUUAUUUGACGGUAAUCAACCAGAAAGUCACGGCUAACUACGUGCCAGCAGCCGCGGUAAUCGUAGGUGGCAAGCGUUGUCCGGAUUUAUUGGGCGUAAAGCGAGCGCAGGCGGAAGAAUAAGUCUGAUGUGAAAGCCCUCGGCUUAACCGAGGAAUUGCAUCGGAAACUGUUUUCUUGAGUGCAGAAGAGGAGAGUAGAACUCCAUGUGUAGCGGUGGAAUGCGUAGAUAUAUGGAAGAAUACCAGUGGCGAAGGCGGCUCUCUGGUCUGCAACUGACGCUGAGGCUCGAAAGCAUGGGUAGCGACAGGAUUAGAUACCCUGGUAGUCCAUGCCGUAAACGAUGAGUGCUAAGUGUUGGGAGGCUUCCGCCUCUCAGUGCUGCAGCUAACGCAUUAAGCACUCCGCCUGGGGGAGUACGACCGCAAGGUUGAAAC